GACGAACGCUGGCGGCGUGCUUAACACAUGCAAGUCGAACGGAAAGGCCCUGCUUUUGUGGGGUGCUCGAGUGGCGAACGGGUGAGUAACACGUGAGUAACCUGCCCUUGACUUUGGGAUAACUUCAGGAAACUGGGGCUAAUACCGGAUAGGAGCUCCUGCUGCAUGGUGGGGGUUGGAAAGUUUCGGCGGUUGGGGAUGGACUCGCGGCUUAUCAGCUUGUUGGUGGGGUAGUGGCUUACCAAGGCUUUGACGGGUAGCCGGCCUGAGAGGGUGACCGGGCACAUUGGGCCUGAGAGAGGGCCCAGAGUCGUACGGGGGGCAGCGGUGGGGAAUAUUGCACAAUGGGCGGAAGCCUGAUGCAGCAACGCCGCGUGCGGGAUGACGGCCUUCGGGUGGUAAACCGCUUUCGCCUGUGACGAAGCGUGAGUGACGGUAAUGGGUAAAGAAGCACCGGCUAACUACGUG
Molecule: ribosomal RNA, 468 nt
Filed under: uncultured bacterium
Lineage: Bacteria
Description: partial 16S ribosomal RNA
Rfam family: Bacterial small subunit ribosomal RNA
Source: RNAcentral